Long non-coding RNA from Alligator sinensis (Chinese alligator), 437 nucleotides. RefSeq lists it as uncharacterized. The transcript has 3 exons. The record is from RefSeq and is a predicted model, not a curated record. NCBI's taxonomy places the organism in Eukaryota, Metazoa, Chordata, Crocodylia, Alligatoridae.
UGAUAAGGGAAGAGCUCCAGGGCAGGAGCACUACAGAGGAGCUUCUGGCCAGUUUCUGGACUGUCCUGGGAGAAGAGCAACCUCGGUAUUGGUGAGGAGUACCAGCAGGAACAAGUAAAUGGACGGAAGUGCCUGGGGUGUUCUGGGACUACCUUAUGGUGAAGACGUAGAGAACUUUCCUGAGAUUUGGGAUUCUUGCUUCAAAGAAUAUUUAAUUAUGAUACCAACUGGAAGAACUCCAACAUCCGAGAGAGAGCAUGCAUCAACCUGCAGCCAGCCAGCCUGGUAGUCAGGGCACUCUCUGAAGAUACUGUUAGGCCCCUGGGCUGAGUCAGUCAAAGCUCUACUCCAAUAUCUGUGGUGAAUGGACUGACAACAGGCCUAUUUAAGAAGGAACAUCUCACUUGCAUUUUCAUCAGCCUUUUGACAUAGUGUGA